RNAcentral lists this ribosomal RNA (253 nucleotides) under uncultured bacterium. Its description in RNAcentral is "partial 16S ribosomal RNA". It matches the Rfam family "Bacterial small subunit ribosomal RNA", at positions 524 to 776 of the family's 1533-position model. The record is from RNAcentral.
UACAGAGGGGGCAAGCGUUGUUCGGAAUUACUGGGCGUAAAGGGCGCGUAGGCGGCCUUCUAAGUCGAACGUGAAAUCCCUGGGCUCAACCCAGGAACUGCGUCCGAUACUGGAAGGCUUGAAUCCGGGAGAGGGAUGCGGAAUUCCAGGUGUAGCGGUGAAAUGCGUAGAUAUCUGGAGGAACGCCGGUGGCGAAAGCGGCGGACUGGAUCUCUUCUGACGCUGAGGCGCGAAAGCUAGGGGAGCAAACGGG